Molecule: long non-coding RNA, 1165 nt
Filed under: Musa acuminata (dwarf banana)
Lineage: Eukaryota; Viridiplantae; Streptophyta; Magnoliopsida; Zingiberales; Musaceae
Description: long non-coding RNA (MACU_LNC006679)
Source: RNAcentral
UUAAGCUACAACAUAUAUUUUUCUUGUUAACGGAACUUCUAUUUUCUUUUAAUCACUUCUUGUUUACUAAGGAGUGGUUUUAGUUUUAGUCUAUUAUCUGAACAAGUCAUUAUUGCUGUUGUAUGCUUAAAUUUAUUAGUCAUGCUAGCCUGAUGAUUAUUAUAAGAACGGAGAUCUGAAAGGUGAUCUUUGUUGAAGUCUAAGUCUAAAACAGCUUGGGCUCCAAAGACAACUAUAUGCAGAUUUCUUUUAGCAUAUGAAGGCUUGCAUGUUCAAGUGUACUUUUUUUAGCAUAGUUCUUUUUCAUGACAAGGUUAUAUUGUAAAAUGAAGUUGUGCUAAUUUGUUAUCUUUUUUCUUUUGUUAACGAAAAUUGACCUGUUAGAAUAACAUGCAAGCAAUACAGAGGUUUGCUGGUGCAUGCUUUGCUGGUUGAAAUUUUAUCUUUUUCAUAAAUAGCUUGGUUUUGAAGUAUGCACUGUGAUCAUAGACUUGCACAUCGUGAAUUUUUUUUUAAUUUUAAGAGACUCUAUUGCUUGUAAUUUCUUGAUAUAGUAUAGAGCUUCAGGUAAACUGAAAUUCUUGUUUUAGUUCUGUGGAAGAAUAAUUAUGUUAUGUAUAUUUUUGUUCUUGAUUAAUAUUAGCAUUGUCAAUUUAUCUUAAUUUUGAUGAAAUCAUGGAUUUUAAUGUUUUUCUAGAGCAUGAUUGUAUGGCGCUUCUUGGGAGCUUGAGAGCGACGAUGUAUUACUUGCUCUCCUUUGUCUAUUCCCCUCACAUCUUCACUUAUAAAUUUUAUUCUCUCUAACGCUUUAUAAUUAUGUAGGAUUUGCAUUCAAAUUGAGAAAUUGGAACAUAUACAUACGUGUCAUGGAAAGAGAGGCUUAUGAUCAGGUUAAGAAGCCUAUAAGAUUCGAAUCAAGUUAUCUAUAAAAAUGUUAUGAUCCCUAGUCUUCAUAGAAAAUAAUUUGCUUAUCAUGGAAUGAAUUACAAAUUGCAUUGAUCUGAUAUGAUUUUUAACUUUGAUGUCAUAUAUGUGUCGAGGUGUCUCUAUUUGACCACCAAAAAGUCAAAAAAGAAAAAUCACCUUUUUGUUAAAAUCUAAAUAUAUGUGAGCUUUCUUAUCUUUGGACUAAGAUUAUUCUGUCGAGAUGAUAGUUGAAGUUAUU